Molecule: ribosomal RNA, 497 nt
Filed under: uncultured bacterium
Lineage: Bacteria
Description: partial 16S ribosomal RNA
Rfam family: Bacterial small subunit ribosomal RNA
Source: RNAcentral
GAUGAACGCUGGCGGCGUGCCUAAUACAUGCAAGUCGAGCGAACGGACGAGAAGCUUGCUUCUCUGAUGUUAGCGGCGGACGGGUGAGUAACACGUGGAUAACCUACCUAUAAGACUGGGAUAACUUCGGGAAACCGGAGCUAAUACCGGAUAAUAUUUUGAACCGCAUGGUUCAAAAGUGAAGGACGGUCUUGCUGUCACUUAUAGAUGGAUCCGCGCUGCAUUAGCUAGUUGGUAAGGUAACGGCUUACCAAGGCAACGAUGCAUAGCCGACCUGAGAGGGUGAUCAGCCACACUGGAACUGAGACACGGUCCAGACUCCUACGGGAGGCAGCAGUAGGGAAUCUUCCGCAAUGGGCGAAAGCCUGACGGAGCAACGCCGCGUGAGUGAUGAAGGUCUUCGGAUCGUAAAACUCUGUUAUUAGGGAAGAACAUAUGUGUAAGUAACUGUGCACAUCUUGACGGUACCUAAUCAGAAAGCCACGGCUAACUACGUG